This 450-nucleotide long non-coding RNA is filed under the name Phasianus colchicus (ring-necked pheasant). RNAcentral describes it as "lncRNA (ENSPCLG00000003892.1)". The record is from RNAcentral. Lineage: Eukaryota; Metazoa; Chordata; Aves; Galliformes; Phasianidae.
AUGAAGUUGAGAACCUUUUCACUGUCUCCCCAUUCUCCAGCCUCAGGAAACAUCUCAAGGCCUGCAUCAUCUGGAGAGGGCCCCACAUGCUAUUCAAGAUACAAAAAACACAGGAUGGCCUCUGGAGCUGGAGAUCACCUAGGAGCCCAAACCCUGCAGGGAGCACAGCCAAGCUCCACUCUCCCUCAUGACUGUCUGCCCAGCUCAGAUCCCAUAGAAACCUUCAAGAUGGAGGCAACUCUCCAGAGGGCUGUCAUGUUCCCCUCAGCCCCACAGGAGACAUUCUUCCCCUCAAGCAAGAGAAACAAUUUAAGUGAAGUGGGCUUUAAGCCUCAAACCUCCCACUGCCGCCAUCUUGGACCCCCUCCUCCUCAGCAAGCUGAUGAGUGCCUAUGGAAGAGAGCAAGCAAGCAAGAGAGAGACAAUGGAGCAAUUCUGAUGCUUCUGUAA